This is a non-coding RNA of Tribonema minus, 73 nucleotides long. The record is from the annotation of a GenBank genome assembly. NCBI's taxonomy places the organism in Eukaryota, Xanthophyceae, Tribonematales, Tribonemataceae.
GGCAAGAUAGAACAACUGGUAGUGGGUCAGACCCAUAAUCUGAAGGUUGUAAGUUCAAAUCCUGCUGAAGCUA